This is a long non-coding RNA of Triticum aestivum (bread wheat), 1522 nucleotides long. RefSeq lists it as uncharacterized. NCBI's taxonomy places the organism in Eukaryota, Viridiplantae, Streptophyta, Magnoliopsida, Poales, Poaceae. The record is from RefSeq and is a predicted model, not a curated record. The transcript has 2 exons.
CCUAACCUAACCUCCCCCGAUCCCAUCUGGCCCCUCCCCAGAACUGCAUCGCUCCACAGCCACCUCCCUCACCGCCCCGCGCCGUCGCCGGGCCCCGGCCACCUCCGGCGCCGUCGCCUGGCCCCGGCCACCUACAACGCCGCGGCCACCCCCCACGAGGAACCCCCGCGCCGCCGCUGCCGCCCCCCACCGUCGCCGCCCCCACCAGGAAGCCGAGCCGGUACAGCGGCCACCACCACCACCCGCCGGUGCACCCACUGGCCCCGGUCACGUGCACCAUCGCGCCCUAGCUCCACCGGCCCCGCCGACUCCUGGAUCCACUGGCACCAGCGUCGUCGCCCCAACCUCCGUCUUCCACUAUCGCUCGCGCGUCGUGGCCUCCUUCCCGGACCACCCUGCCGCCGCGCCCCACCGACUCAGAUCGUCGCCAGCCUUCCUCCCCUGCUUCCACCGAGGAGGUGGCCUCCGUCUGCCGUCAACUGCCACCGCGACCUGCCUCAUGGCUCCCCCGCGACCUGCCCAUUGCGCCACCGCUACCUGAUCUGGUGAUUCGAAGAACGUGCAUCUGAUGCAGUUGGAUGGGGCAGCGGAGAGCCUGCUGCUGUUCAAGGCAGACGUGGUGGACAGCGCCACCGCGCUGGCCGCCGCCGUCGAGGAGCGCGAACUAAGUGACUCACUGCUGUCAGAGACGAUUACAAGUUGCUACUGCCUUACUGGCACUAUAAAAAUCUGGUUGAAGUCCAAUAUUUGGAAACUACAGAUUCUUGAUGAUCUGUUACUAAUGGUGUGCUAAAUACAACCGUGCAGUCAGAACUCAUGGUGUCUGCCGUGAAGGGCACCUUAAAUAUUCUUGAGGUUUGUUCAUCUCUGAAGGUUCAGCUUGGGAGUUGUCAUGUUGCCAUGUUGCUUCGCCCGUUGCCAUGUUAAACUUCUCACGUAGGCCGCUUUGACCUUCCUGAGUUAGGUUCAUAUUUGGUUUUUUUGUGCUCGACGGUGAGACACUGUUGAUCUCCUUCAGCUCUCUUGUUCUUCCUGCAAACAAGGCCGGGUUCAGUUUUGGUGGCUUGACGCUGCAUGCUCUGGUUGCUACUUGAACUGCUUGCUGCAUCUGUAACACCUUCUCCUCCUAGAACUCAAUCAAUGGACACAACAUGGCUGUAAUGUUCUUGCUAUUCAAAUUACUCUGAAUUUGUAUGGCCGACACUUCAAAUUUUUGCACUUCCAGGUGGCAUUCAAAAGCUCAGCUCGGUGCCAUGAGGGAUGCUACAGAGCUGCCGUGGUGAUCCUGCUGAGGUGAGGUCGAGGCGCUGGAGUCCUGCGGCGCUGCGGCAUGCCGUGUGCUCUUUUUUGCUGAGGUCGAGUUGCUGGAGUGCGGUGGUUCUCGUCACCCUCUUGGAGUCCGGUGCUGUUGUUGGCUUUAUCUUGUUGCUGUUUUCCUAACUGUGAGAGAGACAUGUAUUUUUCUCUUCCUGUACACUUAAUACUAUGAAUAAUCUGAUCCCGUUGGUAGGUUGGUAUUGUA